Molecule: ribosomal RNA, 254 nt
Filed under: uncultured bacterium
Lineage: Bacteria
Description: partial 16S ribosomal RNA
Rfam family: Bacterial small subunit ribosomal RNA
Source: RNAcentral
CACGUAGGGGGCGAGCGUUGUCCGGAUUUAUUGGGCGUAAAGAGCUCGUAGGCGGUUUCGUAAGUCGGAUGUGAAAACUCCAGGCUCAACUUGGAGACGCCAUUUGAUACUGCGAUGACUUGAGUCCGGUAGGGGAGUGUGGAAUUCCUGGUGUAGCGGUGAAAUGCGCAGAUAUCAGGAGGAACACCGGCGGCGAAGGCGGCACUCUGGGCCGGUACUGACGCUGAGGAGCGAAAGCGUGGGUAGCAAACAGG